RNAcentral lists this ribosomal RNA (397 nucleotides) under uncultured bacterium. RNAcentral describes it as "partial 16S ribosomal RNA". It matches the Rfam family "Bacterial small subunit ribosomal RNA", at positions 523 to 918 of the family's 1533-position model. The record is from RNAcentral.
AUACGUAGGGGGCGAGCGUUGUCCGGAAUGAUUGGGCGUAAAGGGUGCGCAGGCGGCCCGGUAAGUCUGGAGUGAAAGUCCUGUUUUUAAGAUGGGAAUUGCUUUGGAUACUGUCGGGCUUGAGUGCAGGAGAGGUAAGUGGAAUUACCAGUGUAGCGGUGUCAUGCGUAGAGAUUGGGAGGAACACCAGUGGCGAAGGCGACUUACUGGACUGUAACUGACGCUGAGGCGCGAAAGUGUGGGGAGCAAACAGGAUUAGAUACCCUGGUAGUCCACACUGUAAACGAUGAAUGCUAGGUGUAGGGGGUAUCGACCCCUUCUGUGCCGCAGUCAACACAAUAAGCAUUCCGCCUGGGGAGUACGGCCGCAAGGUUGAAACUCAAAGGAAUUGACGGGG